UGGGGAAUAUUGCACAAUGGGCGAAAGCCUGAUGCAGCAACGCCGCGUGAGUGAUGAAGGUCUUCGGAUUGUAAAGCUCUGUCUUUUGGGACGAUAAUGACGGUACCAAAGGAGGAAGCCACGGCUAACUACGUGCCAGCAGCCGCGGUAAUACGUAGGUGGCGAGCGUUGUCCGGAUUUACUGGGCGUAAAGGGUGCGUAGGCGGAUGUUUAAGUGAGAUGUGAAAUACCCGGGCUUAACUUGGGUGCUGCAUUUCAAACUGGAUAUCUAGAGUGCAGGAGAGGAGAAUGGAAUUCCUAGUGUAGCGGUGAAAUGCGUAGAGAUUAGGAAGAACACCAGUGGCGAAGGCGAUUCUCUGGACUGUAACUGACGCUGAGGCACGAAAGCGUGGGUAGCAAACAGGAUUAGAUACCCUGGUAGUCCACGCCGUAAACGAUGAGUACUAGGUGUAGGAGGUAUCGACCCCUUCUGUGCCGCAGUAAACACAUUAAGUACUCCGCCUGGGAAGUACGAUCGCAAGAUUAAACUCUAAAGUGAAUUGACGGGGUC
RNAcentral lists this ribosomal RNA (550 nucleotides) under uncultured bacterium. RNAcentral describes it as "partial 16S ribosomal RNA". It matches the Rfam family "Bacterial small subunit ribosomal RNA", at positions 355 to 920 of the family's 1533-position model. The record is from RNAcentral.